CACACCAAGCUGGGGGCACAGGUGCACGCGGCCCCUGACUGCAGCGGCCACAUCCUCCCAAGGGACAGUGUCUGAGUGGACUCACUCAGCUGGAGAAGGCUGAGUUCAUCAGUGAGCCCCGUCACAGCACAUGGCACUCACUGGUCCGUGCGCAGCCCUUGGCCGGCUUCGCGGCCUCUCCUCCCCACCCAGGGCGGCCCUGCCGAGCGCUUCGGGAGCCGUGGUGCGUGCCUGCGCUCGUGCAGACUGCUUCUCUCUGUGUUUUGUCUGCACGUCAGUUCAAUUUACAUAAACAGCUCUGUGUAGUA
Molecule: long non-coding RNA, 308 nt
Organism: Suricata suricatta (meerkat)
Lineage: Eukaryota; Metazoa; Chordata; Mammalia; Carnivora; Herpestidae
Exons: 2
Source: RefSeq, a predicted model, not a curated record